RNAcentral lists this small RNA (646 nucleotides) under Oryza sativa Japonica Group (Japanese rice). RNAcentral describes it as "sRNA Os10g0364600". The record is from RNAcentral. Lineage: Eukaryota; Viridiplantae; Streptophyta; Magnoliopsida; Poales; Poaceae.
AGUCUAGUCCUUCGGUUUGAGGAAGGCUUGGCAGCAUGAAGCUAAAGCGUCCGAAGCGUUCAGCAGCGGUGGAAGAGUGAACGGUGGGAGGACGUCUCCCUCCUGAUGCUUAAUGGUUGAAGGUUUACUGGCAAGUGUCGCUGCCAUGGCAGCCUGCUGCUUAUUGAGUCCAUCCAUGAUGCAAGAGAAUGCCGCGAAGGUGACACAGCUGUGGAACAUCGCUUGCGGUGCACCUGGUUCAGGAGAAUGAAGAAAAACAUAUGAGCAUAUAGUGACUCACAUACUAUCAUCUUUCCCUCGCAAUCUUCUCAGCAAGCACAGGAUAAAACUUUGGACACCAGACAGUGCUGCGAAAGUCUAAUACAAAAAUCCAGCACUGCUGAGUGAACCCUUCAUACCUUUGUUAGUGAGCAAACCUUGCCCUGGGGAAAAAGGAGCCGACGAAGGCGCCGGCGGCGAGGUCCCCGGCGGAGCGGGCGAGGCAGACGACGGGCGCGGCGAGGUGCGGGGGCUGCCCGCCGCCGACGCCGAGGUCGUCGUCCUCCCACUCGCGCCCGCGCCCUCGACCUCGCCUCGCCGCCAUCUCUCUCCUCGCUUUGCUGUUUUGCUUUUUUGCUCUUCUCCUCGACUCUUCGUUAUCUUGAUG